This 599-nucleotide ribosomal RNA is filed under the name Curvularia inaequalis. Its description in RNAcentral is "partial large subunit ribosomal RNA". It matches the Rfam family "Eukaryotic large subunit ribosomal RNA", at positions 40 to 654 of the family's 3401-position model. Lineage: Eukaryota; Fungi; Ascomycota; Dothideomycetes; Pleosporales; Pleosporaceae. The record is from RNAcentral.
AUAUCAAUAAGCGGAGGAAAAGAAACCAACAGGGAUUGCCCUAGUAACGGCGAGUGAAGCGGCAACAGCUCAAAUUUGAAAUCUGGCUCUUUUAGAGUCCGAGUUGUAAUUUGCAGAGGGCGCUUUGGCUUUGGCAGCGGUCCAAGUUCCUUGGAACAGGACGUCACAGAGGGUGAGAAUCCCGUACGUGGUCGCUAGCUAUUGCCGUGUAAAGCCCCUUCGACGAGUCGAGUUGUUUGGGAAUGCAGCUCUAAAUGGGAGGUAAAUUUCUUCUAAAGCUAAAUAUUGGCCAGAGACCGAUAGCGCACAAGUAGAGUGAUCGAAAGAUGAAAAGCACUUUGGAAAGAGAGUCAAACAGCACGUGAAAUUGUUGAAAGGGAAGCGCUUGCAGCCAGACUUGCUUGCAGUUGCUCAUCCGGGCUUUUGCCCGGUGCACUCUUCUGCAGGCAGGCCAGCAUCAGUUUGGGCGGUGGGAUAAAGGUCUCUGACACGUUCCUUCCUUCGGGUUGGCCAUAUAGGGGAGACGUCAUACCACCAGCCUGGACUGAGGUCCGCGCAUCUGCUAGGAUGCUGGCGUAAUGGCUGUAAGCGGCCCGUCU